CCGGAGCGGUGGUGCGUGCCUGUAGUCCCAGCUACUUGGUCGGCUGAGGUGGGAGGAUACCUUUAGCCCAGGAGUUCUGCGCUGUACUGUGUUAUGCCGAUCGGGUGUUUCCACUAAGUUCGGCAUCAAUAUGGUGACCUCCCAAGCACGGUAGACCACCAGGUUGCCUAAGGUGGGGUGUACAGGUCCAGGUCGGAAAUGGAGCAGGUUAGACUCCCGUGCUGAUCAGUAGUGGGAUCGCGGCUGUGAAUAGCCACUGCAUUCCAGCCUGGGCAACACAGCGAGAUCCCGUCUCU
Molecule: signal recognition particle RNA, 296 nt
Filed under: Saimiri boliviensis boliviensis (Bolivian squirrel monkey)
Lineage: Eukaryota; Metazoa; Chordata; Mammalia; Primates; Cebidae
Description: Metazoan signal recognition particle RNA (ENSSBOG00000003867.1)
Rfam family: Metazoan signal recognition particle RNA
About the family: The signal recognition particle (SRP) is a universally conserved ribonucleoprotein.
Source: RNAcentral